RNAcentral lists this long non-coding RNA (1221 nucleotides) under Oncorhynchus kisutch (coho salmon). RNAcentral describes it as "lncRNA (ENSOKIG00005022933.1)". Lineage: Eukaryota; Metazoa; Chordata; Actinopteri; Salmoniformes; Salmonidae. The record is from RNAcentral.
AAGUGUACAUGUUUUGCGUCGAAAUAAAUUCAACAAUAUUGAGGUUCGCCAGUUUUUCAAUUUCGCAUGGGGGGGUCAGAUUCGGGAAUAUGCUGUGUUUUACGUAAUGCUUAUGGACACUUUGAAUGAACUGUUAGCGAGGAUUAGAGAUUAUAGCGAACCUAGGGAUCUCUUACAGUUGGAAAUUUGUGGAGACAGUCUACAGAGCAAGGUAUCGCUUAUUUUACAGAAUGGUGAAGCAGAGCUUGAACAAUUUGUUAAACUGCUAGAACGCCUUGUUCAGUCAAAUUUAAACGUGCUAGCAGAUAGGACCCUCGAACUUGUAGUACAAUUAGUACGACAACCACAAGGGGGCGGGGGUCAGAGACGAAAGCUCGAGAGUUUAAUGCAGUCCGAAAUCAUAAGCAAUAAAAGGGCCUAUCUCAUAAACGUUCACAAUCCAGGUAAUAAGCUAUGUUUUGCCAUAGGUUUGGCCCACUUACUCAGCCCAGGAUGUACUGAUCAAGCCGCGUUACAAAAAGCUCGAGAGCUACAAACUGCGGUGGGUCUCGGUAUACAGGAUGCUGUGGCUUUCUCAGACAUAGUCAAAUUUGAAAACUUUCUGAACAUCAAGAUUGUGGUUUUGUACCACAGUAGGGCUAAUGACGCUCUCCUCAAGUUCCAAAAUAUACCCGAACCACAUCCUAAGACUAUGUACUUUUAUGUGCAAAAUGAGCAUUACUAUGCCGUAACUAACAUCACAGCCUUUUUAGGCGCGCCAUAUGUCUGUCCAGCCUGUCAUACCGGCUACACACGCAUGGGGGGGCACUCGUGCCGUUACAACUGUUCAGUAUGUCUGGAUAAACAUUGCCCUAUGCAGCCGCUAAACUUGACCCCCUGUGCGGAUUGUCACCGCACAUGUCGUUCGGCCUACUGUUACGAAAAACACAAAACUGAAACAUGGCAUCCCAAGGCAUGUAAAUCUGUAAGCAGUUGUGACAUUAACAAGAAAUGUCCAAAAUGUCAUUGCAAUUACAACCUUAAAAUAGAUAGCCCUAAACCUCAUGUUUGUGGAAUUAUACACUGCCCAAUCUGUAAAGGUCCUUUGAAAAGCAGAGACGCGGAAGCGGUUCAAGAAGUAACACAUGAGUGUUACAUUCAGCCCUUGGCUGAAGAUGAACAUACAGAGAAAUAUGUGUUUUAUGAUUUUGAGACAAAUCAGCAAUCAGGGGUUCAUUUGCC